This 71-nucleotide transfer RNA is filed under the name Liolaemus pseudolemniscatus. RNAcentral's name for it is "tRNA-Trp". It matches the Rfam family "tRNA". From Rfam's summary of the family: Transfer RNA (tRNA) molecules are approximately 80 nucleotides in length. The record is from RNAcentral. Lineage: Eukaryota; Metazoa; Chordata; Lepidosauria; Squamata.
AGGAAUUUAGGAUAUUACCAAACCGUAGACCUUCAAAGUCUAAAAAAAAGGUGCAAACCCUCUAAUUCCUG